Molecule: small nucleolar RNA, 133 nt
Organism: Artibeus jamaicensis (Jamaican fruit-eating bat)
Lineage: Eukaryota; Metazoa; Chordata; Mammalia; Chiroptera; Phyllostomidae
Source: RefSeq, a predicted model, not a curated record
UUUAAUACUUAAAAGCAUUUUCUAGGUGUUGUUGCAGAAGUGAGGGGAGCCAAGUUUGAUAAGGUAAUUUUGGUAAUAGAAAGGUAUUAGCCUCAGAAGCUAGUGAGGUGGUCCAUUCUAUGGUAGCAUAGUG